RNAcentral lists this long non-coding RNA (413 nucleotides) under Capsicum annuum. RNAcentral describes it as "long non-coding RNA (CANN_LNC010685)". Lineage: Eukaryota; Viridiplantae; Streptophyta; Magnoliopsida; Solanales; Solanaceae. The record is from RNAcentral.
UACUAAACUUCAGCUAUACACAACAGAAUCGCGACAGUUUCUCAGGUUUUUUUCCGUUUCUCUGUAGUGAUGAAUAGAAUGGUGUGUAGUUAUAUGGUGUAGAAUUACUGUAUCAACUUCCUACGUGUGGUUAUACGAGCGUUCAACCCUUCUAGUCAUGGCUCGUGUGGUUAUACGAGCGUUCAAACCUUCAAGUCAUCACUUGCUUGUGUGAACGAGCGUUCAAACCUUCAAGUCAUCACUUGCUUGUGUGGUUAUACGAGCGUUCAAACCUUCAAGUCAUCGCGCUCAUGAGGUUGUCGUUGGUUUGAUCAUCUCGAUAUGAAGCCGAUGAGCUCUCUUGUUGUAUACUUAGUUUGUAUGUUGUGUUUGAGAAAUAUGUAUGUAUAUAUAUAAAGAUUUUGUUUGUCCAA